This 406-nucleotide ribosomal RNA is filed under the name uncultured bacterium. Its description in RNAcentral is "partial 16S ribosomal RNA". It matches the Rfam family "Bacterial small subunit ribosomal RNA", at positions 30 to 526 of the family's 1533-position model. The record is from RNAcentral.
AUUGAACGCUGGCGGCAGGCCUAACACAUGCAAGUCGAACGAGUGGCGGACGGGUGAGUAAUGUCUGGGAAACUGCCCGAUGGAGGGGGAUCACUACUGGAAACGGUAGCUAAUACCGCAUACCAUCGGAUGUGCCCAUAUGGGAUUAGCUCGUCGGUGGGGGAACGGCUCACCUAGGCGACGAUCCCUAGCUGGUCUGAGAGGAUGACCAGCCACACUGGAACUGAGACACGGGCCAGACGCCGACGGGAGGCAGCAGUGGGGAAUAUUGCACAAUGGGCGGAAGCCUGAUGCAGCCAUGCCGCGUGUAUGAAGAAGGCCUUCGGGUUGUAAAGUACUUUCAGCGAGGAGGCGUUACUCGCAGAAGAAGCACCGGCUAACUCCGUGCCAGCAGCCGCGGUAAUUC